RNAcentral lists this ribosomal RNA (301 nucleotides) under uncultured bacterium. RNAcentral's name for it is "partial 16S ribosomal RNA". It matches the Rfam family "Bacterial small subunit ribosomal RNA", at positions 509 to 807 of the family's 1533-position model. The record is from RNAcentral.
CAGCAGCCGCGGUAAUACGGAGGGGGCUAGCGUUGUUCGGAAUUACUGGGCGUAAAGCGCACGUAGGCGGCUUGGUAAGUUAGAGGUGAAAGCCUGGAGCUCAACUCCAGAAUUGCCUUUAAGACUGCCGAGCUAGUAGGUGAGAGAGGUAAGUGGAAUUCCGAGUGUAGAGGUGAAAUUCAUAGAUAUUCGGAAGAACACCAGUGGCGAAGGCGGCUUACUGGCUCAUUCUAGACGCUGAGGUGCGAAAGCGUGGGGAGCAAACAGGAUUAGAUACCCGCGUAGUCCCUGUCUCUUAUAC